GUGAGGAAUUUUCCGCAAUGGGCGAAAGCCUGACGGAGCAAUGCCGCGUGAAGGAUGAAGGCCUAUGGGUUGUAAACUUCUUUUCUCAGAAAAGAAUUAUGACGGUAUCUGAGGAAUAAGCAUCGGCUAACUCUGUGCCAGCAGCCGCGGUAAGACAGAGGAUGCAAGCGUUAUCCGGAAUGAUUGGGCGUAAAGCGUCUGUAGUUUGUUUAAAAAGUAUUCUGUCAAAGAUUAGGGCUUAACCCUAGAUAGGCAGAAUAAACUUUUAAGCUAGAGUUUGGUAGAGGCAGAGGGAAUUCCCGGUGGAGCGGUGAAAUGCGUAGAUAUCGGGAGGAACACCAAAGGCGAAGGCACUCUGCUGGGCCAAUACUAACACUGAGAGACGAAAGCGAGGGGAGCAAAUGGGAUUAGAAACCCCUGUAGUCC
Molecule: ribosomal RNA, 426 nt
Filed under: uncultured bacterium
Lineage: Bacteria
Description: partial 16S ribosomal RNA
Rfam family: Bacterial small subunit ribosomal RNA
Source: RNAcentral